Molecule: ribosomal RNA, 497 nt
Filed under: Halomonas sp. 20/6H10
Lineage: Bacteria; Pseudomonadati; Pseudomonadota; Gammaproteobacteria; Oceanospirillales; Halomonadaceae
Description: bacterial SSU rRNA
Rfam family: Bacterial small subunit ribosomal RNA
Source: RNAcentral
GAGUUUGAUCAUGGCUCAGAUUGAACGCUGGCGGCAGGCCUAACACAUGCAAGUCGAGCGGAAACGAUCCUAGCUUGCUAGGAGGCGUCGAGCGGCGGACGGGUGAGUAAUGCAUAGGAAUCUGCCCGGUAGUGGGGGAUAACUUGAGGAAACUCAAGCUAAUACCGCAUACGCCCUACGGGGGAAAGCAGGGGCUCUUCGGACCUUGCGCUAUCGGAUGAGCUUAUGUCGGAUUAGCUAGUUGGUGAGGUAAUGGCUCACCAAGGCGACGAUCCGUAGCUGGUCUGAGAGGAUGAUCAGCCACAUCGGGACUGAGACACGGCCCGAACUCCUACGGGAGGCAGCAGUGGGGAAUAUUGGACAAUGGGGGCAACCCUGAUCCAGCCAUGCCGCGUGUGUGAAGAAGGCCCUCGGGUUGUAAAGCACUUUCAGCGAGGAAGAAUGCUUGUCGGUUAAUACCCGGCAAGGGAGACAUCACUUCGCAGAAGAAGCACCGG